ACAGGUGGUGCAUGGUUGUCGUCAGCUCGUGUCGUGAGAUGUUGGGUUAAGUCCCGCAACGAGCGCAACCCUUAUCUUCAGUAGCCAGCAAUUCGGUUGGGCACUCUGGAGAGACUGCCAGGGAUAACCUGGAGGAAGGUGGGGAUGACGUCAAAUCAUCAUGCCCCUUAUGAUUUGGGCUACACACGUGCUACAAUGGCGUAAACAAAGGGAAGCAGCCCUGUGAAGGUGAGCAAAUCCCAAAAAUAACGUCUCAGUUCGGAUUGUAGUCUGCAACUCGACUACAUGAAGCUGGAAUCGCUAGUAAUCGCGAAUCAGAAUGUCGCGGUGAAUACGUUCCCGGGUCUUGUACACACCGCCCGUCACACCAUGGGAGUCGGAAAUGCCCGAAGUCAGUGACCCAACCGUAAGGAGGGAGCUGCCGAAGGUGGAGCCGGUAACUGGGGUGAAGUCGUAACAAGGUAGCCGUAUCGGAAGGUGCGGCUGGAUCACCUC
RNAcentral lists this ribosomal RNA (495 nucleotides) under uncultured bacterium. RNAcentral's name for it is "bacterial SSU rRNA". It matches the Rfam family "Bacterial small subunit ribosomal RNA", at positions 1034 to 1529 of the family's 1533-position model. The record is from RNAcentral.